RNAcentral lists this ribosomal RNA (691 nucleotides) under Salmonella enterica. RNAcentral describes it as "bacterial SSU rRNA". It matches the Rfam family "Bacterial small subunit ribosomal RNA", at positions 824 to 1515 of the family's 1533-position model. Lineage: Bacteria; Pseudomonadati; Pseudomonadota; Gammaproteobacteria; Enterobacterales; Enterobacteriaceae. The record is from RNAcentral.
UUGUGCCCUUGAGGCGUGGCUUCCGGAGCUAACGCGUUAAGUAGACCGCCUGGGGAGUACGGCCGCAAGGUUAAAACUCAAAUGAAUUGACGGGGGCCCGCACAAGCGGUGGAGCAUGUGGUUUAAUUCGAUGCAACGCGAAGAACCUUACCUGGUCUUGACAUCCACAGAAGAAUCCAGAGAUGGAUUUGUGCCUUCGGGAACUGUGAGACAGGUGCUGCAUGGCUGUCGUCAGCUCGUGUUGUGAAAUGUUGGGUUAAGUCCCGCAACGAGCGCAACCCUUAUCCUUUGUUGCCAGCGGUCCGGCCGGGAACUCAAAGGAGACUGCCAGUGAUAAACUGGAGGAAGGUGGGGAUGACGUCAAGUCAUCAUGGCCCUUACGACCAGGGCUACACACGUGCUACAAUGGCGCAUACAAAGAGAAGCGACCUCGCGAGAGCAAGCGGACCUCAUAAAGUGCGUCGUAGUCCGGAUUGGAGUCUGCAACUCGACUCCAUGAAGUCGGAAUCGCUAGUAAUCGUGGAUCAGAAUGCCACGGUGAAUACGUUCCCGGGCCUUGUACACACCGCCCGUCACACCAUGGGAGUGGGUUGCAAAAGAAGUAGGUAGCUUAACCUUCGGGAGGGCGCUUACCACUUUGUGAUUCAUGACUGGGGUGAAGUCGUAACAAGGUAACCGUAGGGGAACCUGC